UACUUGUGGAAUGUAAGGCCUUUGA
Molecule: non-coding RNA, 25 nt
Filed under: Rattus norvegicus (Norway rat)
Lineage: Eukaryota; Metazoa; Chordata; Mammalia; Rodentia; Muridae
Source: RNAcentral